CCCCGCCCCGCCUCGCCCGCGGCCCCGGACACGGGGCGGGACCGAUCGGCGGAGGCGGCACCGCGGCCCGGCCUCGCCUCACGGAGCCGCCCGCGCCCCGUCGUGCCUGGCGCUUCAGAGUGCUUCAAGUUACAACUGGAGGGAGACAAAGGGAGCAGCAGAUGAAUGAAGCAACAAUAACCUUUAAUAAUCCAUCCCAAAGCCUUGGAUAUAGUAACUACAUCUAAACUGUAGAAAGAAGAGUUAACAUCCCCCAGCCCUCUGCCAUCGGUGUCACCUGGAGCCCAGCACGAGCGCUAACAGGAGCAAGGAGGUGACACACCUGCAGGCCAGCUUUUCACCAGCUGCUGCCUGCAGACCCCAGGCCUUACGAAGAGCCUUGCUGGAGAAGCACCUGGUGCAGCAGGCAGACCCAAGUGACAGUCCUGCUGCAGGACAGCCUCAGGGACACUCAGGCCAUGGCUUGAGCAGGCCCUUUGCACUCCCCAGCAUCACCUCCCCGGGUAAAGCUGCGAUUGCCUUGGCAUCAGCUCUGCCUUGGAAGCUGGAAAGGGUUUCCUGGGGUGAUGGGGUGAAACUGACUGCUUGUGCCUCUUGGUGGUGGUGAGCCUGGCCUCUAUGCCAUUGUUUCCUACACAAGUCCACAGCUUGGGAUGUGAAGAAUAAAAACUAUUUCUGGAAGUGAAUAUUUCUACAGUGAUGUACAGUCCAUGGGGACCAUAACAAACAUCUCCCGUUUCUCUUUCAGAUGAGAGGUAUCUGUCAGAUGUUAACUUCUAACAAUUCAAAUCCUCUCUCUGUACAUUGUCAUUAUUAAUAAAAGGAAUAUUUUUCACUCCACUUACACACAUCACUGGCUUGCUCUUCUCAGAGCACUGCUGGACUCCCAGGGCUGCAGUGAUGAGUUUAGGGCAGGAAUUCUAUCAAUAAAGCAUUUGACCAAACUGCCAGUGGGAUCUGAAAGGACACCACUGCUACUGGAUGGGGAAAUAGCUAUAUGUAA
Long non-coding RNA from Zonotrichia leucophrys gambelii, 1003 nucleotides. RefSeq lists it as uncharacterized. Lineage: Eukaryota; Metazoa; Chordata; Aves; Passeriformes; Passerellidae. The transcript has 3 exons. The record is from RefSeq and is a predicted model, not a curated record.